AGAGUUUGAUCAUGGCUCAGGACGAACGCUGGCGGCGUGCUUAAUACAUGCAAGUCGAGCGAUAAUCCGGGUCGAACUUUUCGAAGCGAGACCUGGAGGAAAGCGGCGAACGGGUGAGUAACGCGUGGGCAACCUACCCUGUACAGCGGGAUAACAUCGGGAAACCGGUGCUAAUACCGCAUGAAGCAUAUUAGUGGCAUCACAGGUAUGUUAAAGGGGAAACCCGGUACGGGAUGGGCCCGCGUCCAAUUAGCUAGUUGGUGGGGUAAUGGCUCACCAAGGCGACGAUUGGUAGCCGAGCUGAGAGGUUGAUCGGCCACAUUGGGACUGAGACACGGCCCAGACUCCUACGGGAGGCAGCAGUAGGGAAUAUUGCGCAAUGGGGGAAACCCUGACGCAGCGACGCCGCGUGAAGGGAGAAGGUUUUCGGAUCGUAAACUUCUUUGACUGGGGACGAAAGUAAUGACGGUACCCAGGGAACAAGCCACGGCUAACUACGUGCCAGCAGCCGCGGUAAUACGUAGGUGGCGAGCGUUGUCCGGAAUUACUGGGUGUAAAGGGCGUGUAGGCGGGAGAGCAAGUCAGAUGUGAAAGCCCAAGGCUCAACUUUGGGACUGCAUCUGAAACUGUUUUUCUUGAGUACUGGAGAGGGAAGCGGAAUUCCUAGUGUAGCGGUGAAAUGCGUAGAGAUUAGGAGGAACACCAGUGGCGAAGGCGGCUUCCUGGACAGAGACUGACGCUGAGGCGCGAAAGCGUGGGGAGCGAACAGGAUUAGAUACCCUGGUAGUCCACGCCGUAAACAAUGGAUACUAGGUGUAGGAGGUAUCAACUCCUUCUGUGCCGGAGUUAACACAAUAAGUAUCCCACCUGGGGAGUACGGCCGCAAGGUUGAAACUCA
Molecule: ribosomal RNA, 898 nt
Filed under: uncultured bacterium
Lineage: Bacteria
Description: bacterial SSU rRNA
Rfam family: Bacterial small subunit ribosomal RNA
Source: RNAcentral